Molecule: ribosomal RNA, 253 nt
Filed under: uncultured bacterium
Lineage: Bacteria
Description: partial 16S ribosomal RNA
Rfam family: Bacterial small subunit ribosomal RNA
Source: RNAcentral
UACGAAGGGGGCUAGCGUUGUUCGGAAUUACUGGGCGUAAAGCGCACGUAGGCGGAUACUUAAGUCAGGGGUGAAAUCCCAGAGCUCAACUCUGGAACUGCCUUUGAUACUGGGUAUCUCGAGUAUGGAAGAGGUGAGUGGAAUUCCGAGUGUAGAGGUGAAAUUCGUAGAUAUUCGGAGGAACACCAGUGGCGAAGGCGGCUCACUGGUCCAUUACUGACGCUGAGGUGCGAAAGCGUGGGGAGCAAACAGG